Molecule: ribosomal RNA, 492 nt
Filed under: uncultured bacterium
Lineage: Bacteria
Description: partial 16S ribosomal RNA
Rfam family: Bacterial small subunit ribosomal RNA
Source: RNAcentral
AGUGAACGCUGGCGGUAGGCCUAACACAUGCAACUCGAACGGCAGCACAGUAAGAGCUUGCUCUUACGGGUGGCGAGUGGCGGACGGGUGAGGAAUACAUCGGAAUCUACUUUUUCGUGGGGGAUAACGUAGGGAAACUUACGCUAAUACCGCAUACGACCUACGGGUGAAAGCAGGGGAUCUUCGGACCUUGCGCGAUUGAAUGAGCCGAUGUCGGAUUAGCUAGUUGGCGGGGUAAAGGCCCACCAAGGCGACGAUCCGUAGCUGGUCUGAGAGGAUGAUCAGCCACACUGGAACUGAGACACGGUCCAGACUCCUACGGGAGGCAGCAGUGGGGAAUAUUGGACAAUGGGCGCAAGCCUGAUCCAGCCAUACCGCGUGGGUGAAGAAGGCCUUCGGGUUGUAAAGCCCUUUUGUUGGGAAAGAAAAGCAGCAGGUUAAUACCCCGCUGUUCUGACGGUACCCAAAGAAUAAGCACCGGCUAACUUCGUG